This is a long non-coding RNA of Gordionus sp. m RMFG-2023, 535 nucleotides long. RefSeq lists it as uncharacterized. Lineage: Eukaryota; Metazoa; Nematomorpha; Gordioida; Chordodea; Parachordodidae. The record is from RefSeq and is a predicted model, not a curated record. The transcript has 3 exons.
UAUAUAUCGAAUUAUAAGUUAAAUUCAUUUUUAAAAUAUGUAGCACCUCACAAGCCAAUUCAUGAGGCUUUGGCUAAUUUGGCGCGCCGAUGAAUGAUAAAAGAUUUAAAAACUGCCUCCACGUAUUAUCUGCAAACGGAUGAAAAUCCGAAUUUGACAAUAACCAGUUUUUCAAGCCUAAAGUCUUUCUAAUGGUUUCUUCCUUCAAAGUCAUUCUAUUCAUCAUUAUCAUAUUUGUACCUGAGAAUAACCGCUCACAUGAAGCAGAAGAUCCCUGAAUGGACAAUAUAUUAGUUGCCAUUUUCGUCAACACGGGAAAACGAUUCCUAUGCAAUCUCCACCAUUCUAGCGGGCUCUUAUUAGACGUGAUUCUUAAUUCAUCAACCUCACAUAUUGAUGAGAUUUCAAUUUCAAAUUUAUCAGAGGUCAGUCUGCGGCGAUGGUAACUGUCAAUAUCACCAGCUUCACUAAAAAGAGAUUCUGAAGAGAUUAUCGCACACAUUUAUAAGCAGAAUACGCAAAAAAAAUAAUACGG